CCUACGGGAGGCAGCAGUGGGGGAUAUUGCACAAUGGGCGGAACCCUGAUGCAGCGAAGUAGCGUGGGUGAAGGAGUGCUUCGGCGCGGAAAGCUGUAUCGGCAGGGAAGUAGGAGGACGGUACCUGACUAAUUAGCCCCUGCUAACUACGUGCCAGCAGCCGCGUUAAUACGUAGGGGGCAAGCGUUUUCCGGAUUUACUGGGUGUAACGGGGGCGCAGACGGCAGCGCAAGCCAGGUGUGAAAGCCCGGGGCGCAACCCCGGGAUUGCACGUGGAACUGCGCGGCUGGAGUGCAGGAAGAGCAGGCGGAAUUCGUGGUGGAGCGGUGAAAUGCGUAGAUAUGAGGAGGAACACCGGUGGCGAAGGCAGCCUGCUGAACUGGGACUGACGUUGAGGCCCGAAAGCGUGGGGAGCAAACAGGAUUAGAUACCCUAGUAGUC
This 441-nucleotide ribosomal RNA is filed under the name uncultured bacterium. RNAcentral describes it as "partial 16S ribosomal RNA". It matches the Rfam family "Bacterial small subunit ribosomal RNA", at positions 338 to 795 of the family's 1533-position model. The record is from RNAcentral.